Long non-coding RNA from Triticum aestivum (bread wheat), 981 nucleotides. RefSeq lists it as uncharacterized. Lineage: Eukaryota; Viridiplantae; Streptophyta; Magnoliopsida; Poales; Poaceae. The transcript has 4 exons. The record is from RefSeq and is a predicted model, not a curated record.
UCCGUUUUUCUUUUGUCCAGACAGUAAGAAUGUUCCUCUUGCCCGAUCCCCUUUCUCCUUUCCUCAUUCUCUCUUCUCACUCAGCAAUUGCUGUUGCCGGGUAGCUCCCAUCAGCUCGCUCUCUUGAUCCGCUAACAUUGAGGAUGCUCGUCCUCACCUGAAGUCACCCCCGCAGCUGGUGCUGCCACAGGGUGACCAUCGACGGCGGUGAUUUGGUCACGGAUUUCAUCUCCCGCAAGGCCGCAGCCUCUUGGAUCCAGCUUCAGUAUGACUAUGAGGAUGCUGGCGAGACUUUCUUCCCCAAGCGCGCAAGCCAAACGCAUCAUCGCUAUUUCCGCGCGAGGCAGCUCAACACAUCGUCCACAUCCUCUACAGCGCCAACAUCCUUCGAAGUUUGAACUGCAGAUGGAGCUGAUGGCAUUAAGACAGGAACCCACUAUCAAAUUUGAGAGCCAGCUGGAGGAAGACAAUGCCAAACUGCCAUUGGUUUGAGGAUGUUGACUUCGAAGUGUCGUUCGCCGAUCUAUAAUUUCGUGCAGAUGGUACUUAUUGGAGGUGGUCUGAUUGCUCGACAGAGCCGGCUGGUGUCCGCUGGAGGAAGAUAGUGCCGAAGUGCCAUUGGUUGGAGGAUGUUGACUUCGAAGUGUCAUUCGCCGGAGGAAGAUGAUGUACAAGGUGUAACCUAUAAUCUAGAGGACAAUUAACCCUUGAGGCGGAAGUGCUUUGUUUGUGGAGAUCGAAUCUCUGUACGUUUGUGGGAGUUUGAAGAGAUGGCAUCUCCAUAAAAAAAAUUGCGCCAGUUUUUUUAUUAUGGGAUGUUCUGAUGGCUCAUGUUUUUUUUGCGAAUAGCCUCAUGGGAUGGUUGAACCUACUGGGAUCAUGAGUUUUUGUUGUGGAAUGAUCUAAUCGCUCAACCUAUUGGGUUGUCAGAUUGUAAUUGUGGGAUAUUUUUUUCUUAAACAGAUCGUGGGAUGUUUGUUU